Non-coding RNA from Canis lupus familiaris (dog), 98 nucleotides. NCBI's taxonomy places the organism in Eukaryota, Metazoa, Chordata, Mammalia, Carnivora, Canidae. The record is from Rfam.
GGGGGGCAGGAGCUCCGGAUCCUGGGCUGUGUCCGCCAGCGCCCUGGGCUCCAGGGCCUGUGCCCUGGAAUGGCGCUCCCAGGGCCGUGAAGCCCCCU